GAUUGGGGAAAUUGUGGCUGAUGAUUCUGAGGACGAUGAUUCCGAUGGAGUCGUGAUUGAUGUGGAGAACCAGAAUGCUGAUAGAACAGAAGCUUCCGACAGUACGGCGAUGGAGACAAAUUUGGCACCAUGUUUCGUCGAUGGAGUAACUCUCACCACAGUGAGGAAGAUGACUCGCUGCAGUUUGAAUCUAAGAUCAUGGGCAUCGGAGGCAAAGUCGGCAGGAAUUACAGCGGGAGUGAUUCGA
Long non-coding RNA from Eucalyptus grandis, 247 nucleotides. RefSeq lists it as uncharacterized. The transcript is spliced from 3 exons. The record is from RefSeq and is a predicted model, not a curated record. Lineage: Eukaryota; Viridiplantae; Streptophyta; Magnoliopsida; Myrtales; Myrtaceae.